Molecule: ribosomal RNA, 776 nt
Filed under: uncultured Neocallimastigales
Lineage: Eukaryota; Fungi; Neocallimastigomycota; Neocallimastigomycetes; Neocallimastigales
Description: partial large subunit ribosomal RNA
Rfam family: Eukaryotic large subunit ribosomal RNA
Source: RNAcentral
UCGCAUCUGUGCAUGCAGCAUAUCAAUAAGCGGAGGAAAAGAAACUAACAAGGACUCCCCUAGUAACGGCGAGUGAAGCGGGAAGAGCUCAAAUUUGAAAUCUUAAAGGGUUUCCCUUUACGAAUUGUAGUUUAAAGAAGUGUUUUCUGUUGAGGUUUUGGUAAAAGUUCUUUGGAAUAGGACAUCAUAGAGGGUGAGAAUCCCGUAUUUGACCUUUACUUUCAACUUUGUGAUACACUUUCAAAGAGUCGGAUUGUUUGGGAAUGCAGUCCAAAAUGGGUGGUAAAUUUCAUCUAAAGCUAAAUAUUGGCGAGAGACCGAUAGCGAACAAGUACCGUGAGGGAAAGAUGAAAAGAACUUUGAAAAGAGAGUUAAACAGUACGUGAAAUUGUCAAAAGGGAAGCGUUUGACACCAGUGUUGUUUUUCUGAAAAUCAAUUAAAGAACCGUUUAUGCUAAGCUGUUUAGACUUUAUCAGCUAUCUGUUUAGUUUUGAGCUUUUCUUUAAUGCACUUUUCAGUUAACAAGUCAACAUCAAUUUCUUUUGCUGUAAAAAAGCUUGAGGAAAGGUGGCUUGAGAUUCGUCUUAAGUGUUUAUAGCCUCUUGCCUAUGCAGUCGGAGAGAUUGAGGUCUGCAGCGUAGAUCCUUCGGGGCUAAAUGCAUUUGUGCUAAGUUAUAGCAUUUCAUAGACAACUUGCUGACUAUGAUUUGUCUUGUAGCUUACUCGCUUAUGUUAUUUUACCUACGCUUAGGAUGUUGAACGCGCACAGAGUCUC